This 462-nucleotide ribosomal RNA is filed under the name Nocardia carnea. RNAcentral's name for it is "bacterial SSU rRNA". It matches the Rfam family "Bacterial small subunit ribosomal RNA", at positions 28 to 507 of the family's 1533-position model. Lineage: Bacteria; Bacillati; Actinomycetota; Actinomycetes; Mycobacteriales; Nocardiaceae. The record is from RNAcentral.
GACGAACGCUGGCGGCGUGCUUAACACAUGCAAGUCGAGCGGUAAGGCCCUUCGGGGUACACGAGCGGCGAACGGGUGAGUAACACGUGGGUGAUCUGCCCUGUACUUCGGGAUAAGCCUGGGAAACUGGGUCUAAUACCGGAUAUGACCUUACAUCGCAUGGUGUUUGGUGGAAAGAUUUAUCGGUACAGGAUGGGCCCGCGGCCUAUCAGCUUGUUGGUGGGGUAAUGGCCUACCAAGGCGACGACGGGUAGCCGGCCUGAGAGGGCGACCGGCCACACUGGGACUGAGACACGGCCCAGACUCCUACGGGAGGCAGCAGUGGGGAAUAUUGCACAAUGGGCGAAAGCCUGAUGCAGCGACGCCGCGUGAGGGAUGACGGCCUUCGGGUUGUAAACCUCUUUCGACAGGGACGAAGCGCAAGUGACGGUACGAGUAUAAGAAGCACCGGCCAACUACGUG